UUCGCCUCCAGUUAUUCAGGUGCCUGUAAAGGUUAAACGGGAAGAACGGUGCGUAUUACUUUAGCUACACAGCUAAUACAACGCCGACGCUGCCCCCGCAACGGUAAUCGAUCUUCAUAACAAAGAUCGAGAGUCCGGAUACCGGCCUGUUUUAUUUCUAACCU
Molecule: non-coding RNA, 164 nt
Filed under: Neptunomonas antarctica
Lineage: Bacteria; Pseudomonadati; Pseudomonadota; Gammaproteobacteria; Oceanospirillales; Oceanospirillaceae
Source: RNAcentral